GGAUGAACGCUAGCGGCAGGCCUAAUACAUGCAAGUCGAGGGGCAGCACGGCAGCGCUUCAGACGACGACCGGCGCACGGGUGAGUAACGCGUAUGCAACCUACCUCAAACAGGGGAAUAGCUCAGGGAAACCUGGAUUAAUGCCCCGUAAUAUUUAAAACUGGCAUCAGUUUAAAAUUAAAGCUCCGGCGGUUUGAGAUGGGCAUGCGUGACAUUAGCUAGUUGGUAAGGUAAAGGCUUACCAAGGCUACGAUGUCUAGGGGUUCUGAGAGGAUGAUCCCCCACACUGGUACUGAGACACGGACCAGACUCCUACGGGAGGCAGCAGUGAGGAAUAUUGGUCAAUGGGCGCAAGCCUGAACAAGCCAUCCCGCGUGUAGGAAGACUGCCCUAUGGGUUGUAAACUACUUUUAUAAAGGAAGAAACUCCCGCACGUGUGCGGGACUGACUGUACUUUACGAAUAAGCACCGGCUAACUCCGUGCCAGCAGCCGCGGUAAUACGGAGGGUGCGAGCGUUAUCCGGAUUUAUUGGGUUUAAAGGGUGCGUAGGCGGGCCUUUAAGUCAGUGGUGAAAUCCUGCAGCUUAACUGUAGAACUGCCAUUGAUACUGAAGGCCUUGAGUAUAGUUGAGGUAGGCGGAAUGUGUAAUGUAGCGGUGAAAUGCUUAGAUAUUACACAGAACACCGAUUGCGUAGGCAGCUUACUAAGCUAUAACUGACGCUGAUGCACGAAAGCGUGGGUAGCCAACAGGAUUAGAUCCCCUGGUAGUCCACGCCGUAAACGAUGAUCACUCGUUGUUGGCAAUACACCGUCAGCGACUAAGCGAAAGUGAUAAGUGAACCACCUGGGGAGUACGAUCGCAAGGUUGAAACUCAAAGGAAUUGACGGGGGCCCGCACAAGCGGAGGAGCAUGUGGUUUAAUUCGAUGAUACGCGAGGAACCUUACCUGGGCUUAAAUGUAUAUUGACAGUCAAAGAGAUUUGAUUUUCUUCGGACAAUUUACAAGGUGCUGCAUGGUUGUCGUCAGCUCGUGCCGUGAGGUGUCGGGUUAAGUCCCAUAACGAGCGCAACCCCUACCGUUAGUUGCCAUCAGGUCAAGCUGGGGACUCUAGCGGAACUGCCUACGCAAGUAGAGAGGAAGGUGGGGAUGACGUCAAAUCAGCACGGCCCUUACGUCCAGGGCUACACACGUGCUACAAUGGCCGGUACAGAGGGCAGCCACUGCGUGAGCAGGAGCGAAUCUCGAAAGCCGGUCUCAGUUCGGAUCGAAGUCUGCAACCCGACUUCGUGAAGCUGGAAUCGCUAGUAAUCGCGCAUCAGCCAUGGCGCGGUGAAUACGUUCCCGGGCC
This 1350-nucleotide ribosomal RNA is filed under the name uncultured prokaryote. RNAcentral describes it as "partial 16S ribosomal RNA". It matches the Rfam family "Bacterial small subunit ribosomal RNA", at positions 27 to 1380 of the family's 1533-position model. The record is from RNAcentral.